GCCUGACUGGCUCAGUUGGUAGAGCAUGUGACUCUUGAUCCUGGUGUUGUGGGUUCGAGCCCCAGGAUGGGUU
This 73-nucleotide transfer RNA is filed under the name Ailuropoda melanoleuca (giant panda). It matches the Rfam family "tRNA". Rfam says of the family: Transfer RNA (tRNA) molecules are approximately 80 nucleotides in length. Their secondary structure includes four short double-helical elements and three loops (D, anti-codon, and T loops). Further hydrogen bonds mediate the characteristic L-shaped molecular structure. tRNAs have two regions of fundamental functional importance: the anti-codon, which is responsible for specific mRNA codon recognition, and the 3' end, to which the tRNAs corresponding amino acid is attached (by aminoacyl-tRNA synthetases). tRNAs cope with the degeneracy of the genetic code in two manners: having more than one tRNA (with a specific anti-codon) for a particular amino acid; and 'wobble' base-pairing, i.e. permitting non-standard base-pairing at the 3rd anti-codon position. The record is from Rfam by way of RNAcentral. Lineage: Eukaryota; Metazoa; Chordata; Mammalia; Carnivora; Ursidae.